Molecule: long non-coding RNA, 201 nt
Filed under: Carica papaya (papaya)
Lineage: Eukaryota; Viridiplantae; Streptophyta; Magnoliopsida; Brassicales; Caricaceae
Description: long non-coding RNA (CPAP_LNC012551)
Source: RNAcentral
CAUGUUGUUUAUCAGCUUUGAGUCAUAGGCCAUAUGUUUAUCUCUUUACAACUCUUUCUUUCUUUUCCUAUGCAGAUUAAUCUUCUCUUAUAGGUGGUCUUUGAUGAUUGGUCUCUAUAUUAUUUAAGCAUGAAAAUGAAAUGAAAAACCUUAAGAUUGGUGACUUUAUCUAAACACUACACACGUAAAUCUCCUUCAUCU